Molecule: small nuclear RNA, 311 nt
Filed under: Microtus ochrogaster (prairie vole)
Lineage: Eukaryota; Metazoa; Chordata; Mammalia; Rodentia; Cricetidae
Description: 7SK RNA (ENSMOCG00000007824.1)
Rfam family: 7SK RNA
About the family: 7SK was discovered as an abundant small nuclear RNA in the mid-70s but a possible function has only recently been suggested. Two independent studies have found that 7SK RNA binds the CDK9/cyclin T complex (known as elongation factor P-TEFb). P-TEFb activates transcription by phosphorylating the C-terminal domain of RNA polymerase II.
Source: RNAcentral
GGAUGUGAGGGCGAUCUGACUGCGACAUCUGUCACCCCACUGAUUGCCAGGGUUGAUUCAGCUGAUCUGGCUGCCUAGGCGGGUGUCCCCUUCCUCACUGCUCCAUGUGUGUCUCUCCCGAAGGUGUGCGCUUGGUCGAAGAUGAUGACCUUCCCUGAAUAGAGGACUGGUGCCCUGCUAGAACCUCCAAACAAGCUCUCAAGACUUUAAAAUAAGCAUUUAAAAUAAACAGCUGCAGUAAGAACGAGGUUAUUUUCAACACGAAUUACGAUCUGUAAUUGUGUUUUUUUUUAGAAAAAAAGAUAUGCAUU